RNAcentral lists this ribosomal RNA (229 nucleotides) under uncultured bacterium. RNAcentral's name for it is "partial 16S ribosomal RNA". It matches the Rfam family "Bacterial small subunit ribosomal RNA", at positions 568 to 796 of the family's 1533-position model. The record is from RNAcentral.
CGUGUAGGCGGACUCGCAAGUCGGUUGUGAAAUCCCUGGGCUUAACCUAGGAACUGCAUCCGAAACUGCUUGUCUUGAGUAAUGGAGAGGGUGGCGGAAUUCCCGGUGUAGAGGUGAAAUUCGUAGAUAUCGGGAGGAACAUCAGUGGCGAAGGCGGCCACCUGGACAUUUACUGACGCUGAGACGCGAAAGCGUGGGGAGCAAACAGGAUUAGAUACCCGAGUAGUCC